RNAcentral lists this ribosomal RNA (253 nucleotides) under uncultured bacterium. RNAcentral describes it as "partial 16S ribosomal RNA". It matches the Rfam family "Bacterial small subunit ribosomal RNA", at positions 524 to 776 of the family's 1533-position model. The record is from RNAcentral.
UACGUAGGGUGCAAGCGUUAAUCGGAAUUACUGGGCGUAAAGCGUGCGCAGGCGGUCAUAUAAGACAGGUGUGAAGUCCCCGAGCUCAACUUGGGAACUGCAUUUGUGACUGUAUGGCUAGAGUACGGCAGAGGGGGAUGGAAUUCCGCGUGUAGCAGUGAAAUGCGUAGAUAUGCGGAGGAACACCGAUGGCGAAGGCAAUCCCCUGGGCCUGUACUGACGCUCAUGCACGAAAGCGUGGGGAGCAAACAGG